This 102-nucleotide small nuclear RNA is filed under the name Otolemur garnettii (small-eared galago). The record is from RNAcentral. Lineage: Eukaryota; Metazoa; Chordata; Mammalia; Primates; Galagidae.
GUGCUCGCUUCAGCAGCACAUAUACUAAAAUUGGAACAGAGAAGAUUAGCACGGCCCCUGUGCAAGGAUGACAUGCAGAUUAGUGAAGCGUUCCAUAAAAGA